AUGAACAAUAAUCUCAAUAUUUACUGAACACAGUAACCACAUCGUAAGGUCCCAUUUCCUCUAAAAAUGCACUAAACUGACGCAAACAUAAAUAAAUCUUGAUCUGUUCCCAUUCCCAAUAUAUAAGCAAUUCAUCCCCUCUUUGGUAUGAGCAAAUUCCAUAUGAAUUCACAAUUUCAGAAAAUGCAGAAUCAAGAUCCUC
RNAcentral lists this long non-coding RNA (202 nucleotides) under Salvia miltiorrhiza (redroot sage). Its description in RNAcentral is "long non-coding RNA (SMIL_LNC000288)". The record is from RNAcentral. Lineage: Eukaryota; Viridiplantae; Streptophyta; Magnoliopsida; Lamiales; Lamiaceae.